CUCGUAGGCGGUUCGUCGCGUCCGGUGUGAAAGUCCAUCGCUUAACGGUGGAUCCGCGCCGGGUACGGGCGGGCUUGAGUGCGGUAGGGGAGACUGGAAUUCCCGGUGUAACGGUGGAAUGUGUAGAUAUCGGGAAGAACACCAAUGGCGAAGGCAGGUCUCUGGGCCGUCACUGACGCUGAGGAGCGAAAGCAUGGGGAGCGAACA
This 207-nucleotide ribosomal RNA is filed under the name uncultured bacterium. Its description in RNAcentral is "partial 16S ribosomal RNA". It matches the Rfam family "Bacterial small subunit ribosomal RNA", at positions 568 to 774 of the family's 1533-position model. The record is from RNAcentral.